RNAcentral lists this ribosomal RNA (452 nucleotides) under Magallana ariakensis (Suminoe oyster). RNAcentral's name for it is "partial large subunit ribosomal RNA". It matches the Rfam family "Bacterial large subunit ribosomal RNA", at positions 1908 to 2597 of the family's 2925-position model. Lineage: Eukaryota; Metazoa; Mollusca; Bivalvia; Ostreida; Ostreidae. The record is from RNAcentral.
GUGCGAAAUAUUACUGUAAACGGCCGCCCUAGCGUGAGGGUGCUAAGGUAGCGAAAUUCCUUGCCUUUUGAUUGUAGGCCUGCAUGAAUGGUUUAACGAGGGUUUAACUGUCUCUUGAUUUAAAAUUGAAAUUGUACUGAAGGUGAAGAUACCUUCAUUAAAAAGUCAGACAAAAAGACCCCGUGCAACUUUGAAAAUUAACUUUAUUCAGAAGUGAAAGAUUUUUAGGUGGGGCGCCUAGAAAGUAAAUCUAACCUUUCUGAACAUUUAGUUCUUUCCGGACUUGACCCGAUUAUAUUCGAUCAUAGGAGAAGUUACGCCGGGGAUAACAGGCUAAUCCUUUAGUAGAGCUCGUAUUGGCUAAAGGGAUUGGCACCUCGAUGUUGAAUCAGGGAUGAUAGCUUCAAGGCGUAGAGGCUUUGAGAGUAGGUCUGUUCGACCUUUAAUACCCU